GCAUCGACCAGAGGGAAAAGGAGCAAUCCGCUUUGAGAUGGCCUCGCGUCCGAUUAGCUAGUUGGUGAGGUAACGGCCCACCAAGGCGACGAUCGGUAGCCGGACUGAGAGGUUGAACGGCCACAUUGGGACUGAGACACGGCCCAGACUCCUACGGGAGGCAGCAGUGGGGAAUAUUGCACAAUGGGGGAAACCCUGAUGCAGCGACGCCGCGUGGAGGAAGAAGGUCUUCGGAUUGUAAACUCCUGUUGUUGAGGAAGAUAAUGACGGUACUCAACAAGGAAGUGACGGCUAACUACGUGCCAGCAGCCGCGGUAAAACGUAGGUCACAAGCGUUGUCCGGAAUUACUGGGUGUAAAGGGAGCGCAGGCGGGAAGACAAGUUGGAAGUGAAAUCCAUGGGCUCAACCCAUGAACUGCUUUCAAAACUGUUUUUCUUGAGUAGUGCAGAGGUAGGCGGAAUUCCCGGUGUAGCGGUGGAAUGCGUAGAUAUCGGGAGGAACACCAGUGGCGAAGGCGGCCUACUGGGCACCAACUGACGCUGAGGCUCGAAAGUGUGGGUAGCAAACAGGAUUAGAUACCCUGGUAGUCCACACCGUAAACGAUGAUUACUAGGUGUUGGAGGAUUGACCCCUUCAGUGCCG
RNAcentral lists this ribosomal RNA (643 nucleotides) under uncultured bacterium. Its description in RNAcentral is "bacterial SSU rRNA". It matches the Rfam family "Bacterial small subunit ribosomal RNA", at positions 188 to 848 of the family's 1533-position model. The record is from RNAcentral.